AUGACAAAAGUCAAAAGCUCCUCAAGGGCGCCCUGAGGACAGCUUUUUACAUUUUGUUGCUUUCUGCAUCUCUGGACAUAUUGUGGAUGUUUAAUAAUUAUAUUUUUAAUGAUUGAAGGAAUAACACAGAAGGGAAUCCUGCAUUUAUUGAGCAGGGCGUUGGAAUGCAAAACUUUAAGAUACUUUAACUGUGAAAUUCUUGGAAGCAUUCAUCAUCCUGUGGAAAGCUAAAUUCAAUGAGGUCAGGAAAUCCAAAUGCAGGAAGAAAAAUGAAAACUUCAGCUAAAAUCAUUACAGUGGUUAAGGGACAGGAGACAGGAAAAUUCUGGGCAGAAGAGGGCAGGUCCCCAGCGAGGGCUUCACCUUCAAGCCUGGAACUAUGGCCCAAAGUGAGAAUGUACAUCCCUGUUUUCCCGCUUGAAUGUUGCCUUUUCCAAAACCACCCAUGGCCUCCCCUGCCCCCAUCCUGUGCCCAUAAAAACCCCAGGAUCAGCCAGCAGAGAGAGGAGAAGAGGAGAUGCAGCUGGAUGUCAGAAACUACCGUUGGAGAGAAGCAGCUUGACUUCAGAGGGACAGGUUGAUGGCACAGCUUUGGAGAGGGGUUUGGCCAUCCCCAGCCAGACUCCAGAGAAAGAUUACCUUCUCCUAAUCCGUCCCCUUUGCAGCUCCCCUUCCUGCUGAGAGCCACCUUCAUCGGCAAUAAAAUCCCCCACAUUGACCAUCCUUCUAAUUCAUGUAUGCAACAUUCUUCCUGGAUGCCAGAAAAGAACUCAGGUGUGGGUGCAAAAGGCUGUCACACUGACCCUCUACUGAGCUGUUAACACUUAAGCUGUCCAUGGAUGGCAAAGCUAAAAGAGCACCGACUAUAACACUCCUUCUGGGGCUUCAGGGGUCAUGGGCACCCUCAAGACACUGCCACAGGACCGGCACAAAGUUUGUUUCUGCUGGCACCCCAAAACGCCCACCCCAGCUCGUGCACCUCCUCACCUGCAUGCCCCCUUCAGCAAGGGGUUAAGCACUGUGGGUUUGAGUGAGUAGAGCUUGCCCCUGCCGGUGCUGAAGCAGCUGACUAGUUCCAGUGCCUGCACUCCAGUUCCUGCCCACAGAGGGGUCAGGGAAAUUUCCUGCUUCAACAUCACUGUAGUGCUACAAAUGUACUAGGUUUAUUAAUAGUGCCCCACAAAUUAAAAAUAAAGUUAUGGCUGUUUUUCUAUUUUUUUAAAAAAGUCCAGUGGCCCUGAUAUAUGAAUACACAGUUAUUUUUCUAGGAACAGACAUAAAAAUUGGGAAUGCAUAUGCAUUCCUAGAGAAACAAAUUUUUGUUGUCACAAAGUAAACAAGCUUAUAUUAUUUGUUAGAGCUCAGAAACAAAAUGAUAACCUUAUAAAACAUUUAAAAAAGAACUAACACCAAUUCUACUGAAACUACUCUGCAUAAUAGAAGACAGAAUACUUCCAAAUUCAUUCUAUGAGCCAGUAUUACCCUGAUACCAAACCAGACAAAGACACAUCAAAAAAAGAAAAGAAAAACACAGGCCAAAUCCCUGAUGAACAUUGAUGCAAAAAUCCUCAACAAAAUACUAGCAAACUGAAUUCAACAACACAUUAAAAAGAUCAUUCAUCAUGACUAAAUUGAAUUUAUCCCAGGGAUGCAAGGAUGGUUCAACUUACACAAAUUAAUGAAGAUGAUACAUCAUAUCAACAGAAUGAAAGACAAAAAUUACAUGAUCAUUUCAAUUGAUACUGAAAAAGCAUUUGAUAAAAUUUAAUAUCUUUUCAUGAUUAAUAAAACCUUCAAAAAAUUGGUAUAAAGGAAUAUACUUCAACCCAAUAAAAGCCAAAUAGGACAGACCCACAGCUAGUAUCAUAUUGAAUGAAGGAAAACUGAAAACUUUUCCUCUAGGAUCUGCAACAUGACAAGGAUGCCUACUUUCACCACUGUUAUUCAGCAUAGUACCAGAAGUCCUAAAUGGAGCAAUCAAACGAGAAAGAUAUAAAGGGCAUCUAAAUUGGAAAGGAAGAAGUCAAAUUAUUCUUGUUUGCAGAUGAUAUAAUCUUAUAUUUGGAAAAACCUAAAGACUCCACACACACACACAAAAACUAUUCAAACUGAUAAGUUUGGUAAAGUUUCAGGAUAAAAAAAUCGACAUACAAAAAUUAGUAGCAUUUCUAUAUGCCAACAGCAAACAAUCUGAAAAAAAUUUAAGAAAGUAACCACAUUUACAAUAACUACAAAAAAUAACUGAGAAUUAGCUUCACCAAAGAAGUGAAAGAUCUCUACAGUGAAAACUAUAAAACACUGAUAAAAGAAGUUGAAGAGAAUACACAAAAAAUGAAAAGAUAUUUCAUGUUCAUAGAUUGCAAGAAUCAAUAUUAUUAAAAUGUCCAUAUAUCCAAAGCAUUCUGCAGAUUCAAUGCAGCCUCUAUCAAAAUAGCAAUGACAUUCUUCACAGAAAUAGAAAAAAAUAAUCCUAACAUUUAUAUGCAACCACAAAAGACCCAGAAUAGCCAAAGCUAUCCUGAGCAAAACAAACAAAACUGGAGCAAUCAUAGUACCUGACUUUAAAUAAUACUACAGAGCUAUGGAAACCAAAACAGCAUGGUACUGACUGGCACAAAAACAGACACAUAGACCAAUGGAUCAGAACAGAGAAUCCAGAAACAAAUUUAUACACCUACAGUGAACUCAUUUUUGACAAAGGUGCCAAGAACAUACACUGGGGAAAGGACAGUCUCUCCAAAAAGCAGUGCUGGGAAAACUGAAUAUCCAGAUGCAGAAACUAGACCCCUAUCUCUCACAAUAUACAUAAAUCAAAUUAAAAUGGAUUACAGACUUACAUAUAAGACCUAAAACUAUGAAACUACUGAAAAAAAAAAAGAACAUUGGAGAAACUCUCCUGGACAUUGGACUGGACAAAGAUUUCUUGAGUAAUGCCCCAUGAGCACAGGCAACCAAAGCAAAAAUGGGCAAAUGGAAUCGCAUCAAGCUAAAAAGCUUCUGCACAGCAAAGGAAACAAUCAACAAAGUGAACAGACAACCCAUAGCAUGGGAGAAAAUAUUUGCAAGCUACCCAUCUGACAAAGGAUUAACACCCAGAAUAUAUAGGGAGCUCAAACAACUCUAUAGGGAAAAAAAUCCAAUAAUCCUAUUCUAAAAUGGGCAAAAGAUCUGAAUAGACAUUUCUCAAAAGAAGACAUACAAAUGACAAACAGAUAUAUGAAUUGGUGCUCAACAUCAUUGAUCAACAGAGAAAUGCAAAUCAAAACUACAAUGAGAUAUCAUCUCACCUAAGUUAAAAUGGCUUAUAUCCAAAGAUAGGCAAUAACAAAUGCUGGCAAGGACGUGGAGAAAAGGCAACCCUUGUACACUGUUGGUAGGAAUGUAAAUUAGUACAAUCACCGUGGAGAACAGUUUGGAGUUUCCUCAAAAAACUAAAAAUAGAGCUACGAUAUGAUCCAGCAAUCCCACUGCUAGGUAUAUACCCAAAAGAAAGGAGAUCAGUAUAUUGAAAAGAUGUCUGCAUUUCUACGUUUGUUGCAGCACUGUUUACAAUACCUAAAAUUUGAAAGCAACCUAAGCAUCCAUCAACAAAUGAAUGGAUAAAGAAAAUGUACAUAUACACAAUGGAGUACUAUUCAGCCGUAAAAAAGAAUAAUAUCCUGUCAUUUGCAACAACACGGAUGGAACUGGAGGUCAUUAUGUUAAGUGAAAUAAGCCAGGCACAGAAAGACAAACUUUUGCCUGUUCUCACUUAUCUGUGGGAUUUAAAAAUAAAAACAAUUGAACUCAUGGAGAUAGUAGAAUGAUGGUUACCAGAGACUGAAAAGGAUAGUUUGGCAGUGGGGGUGAGGGGUAAGUGGGGAUGGUUAAUGGGUACAAAAAUAUAAUUAGAUAGAAGGAAUAAAAUUUAGUAUUUGAUAGCAUGACAGAGUGACUACUAUCAACAAUAAUUUAUUGUACAUUUAAAAAUAACUAAAAGACUAUAAUUGGACUGUUUGAAACACAAAGAAGAAUAAAUGCUUGAGAUGAUGGAUAUCCUAUUUACCCGGAUGUGAUUAUUAUGCAUUGUAUGUCUAUAUCAAAAUAUUUCAUGUACACUAUAACUAUAUAGAUGUACGAUGUACUCACAAAAAUUUAAAACAAAA
Molecule: long non-coding RNA, 4145 nt
Filed under: Homo sapiens (human)
Lineage: Eukaryota; Metazoa; Chordata; Mammalia; Primates; Hominidae
Description: HSALNT0062142
Source: RNAcentral